AUUGAACGCUGGCGGCAGGCCUAACACAUGCAAGUCGAGCGGAUAAAGGGAGCUUGCUCCUGGAUUCAGCGGCGGACGGGUGAGUAAUGCCUAGGAAUCUGCCUGGUAGUGGGGGAUAACGUCCGGAAACGGGCGCUAAUACCGCAUACGUCCUGAGGGAGAAAGUGGGGGAUCUUCGGACCUCACGCUAUCAGAUGAGCCUAGGUCGGAUUAGCUAGUUGGUGGGGUAAAGGCCUACCAAGGCGACGAUCCGUAACUGGUCUGAGAGGAUGAUCAGUCACACUGGAACUGAGACACGGUCCAGACUCCUACGGGAGGCAGCAGUGGGGAAUAUUGGACAAUGGGCGAAAGCCUGAUCCAGCCAUGCCGCGUGUGUGAAGAAGGUCUUCGGAUUGUAAAGCACUUUAAGUGGGGAGGAAGGGCAGUAAGUUAAUACCUUGCUGUUUUGACGUUACCAACAGAAUAAGCACCGGCUAACUUCGUG
RNAcentral lists this ribosomal RNA (484 nucleotides) under uncultured bacterium. RNAcentral describes it as "partial 16S ribosomal RNA". It matches the Rfam family "Bacterial small subunit ribosomal RNA", at positions 30 to 507 of the family's 1533-position model. The record is from RNAcentral.